AGUGAACGCUGGCGGUAGGCCUAACACAUGCAAGUCGAACGGCAGCACAGUAAGAGCUUGCUCUUACGGUUGGCGAGUGGCGGACGGGUGAGGAAUACAUCGGCAUCUACUUUUUCGUGGGGGAUAACGUAGGGAAACUUACGCUAAUACCGCAUACGACCUACGGGUGAAAGCAGGGGAUCUUCGGACCUUGCGCGAUUGAAUUAGCCGAUGUCGGAUUAGCUAGUUGGCGGGGUAAAGGCACACCAAGGCGACGAUCCGUAGCUGAUCUGAGAGGAUGAUCAGCCACACUGGAACUGAGACACGGUCCAGACUCCUACGGGAGGCAGCAGUGGGGAAUAUUGGACAAUGGGCGCAAGCCUGAUCCAGCCAUGCCGCGUGGGUGAAGAAGGCCUUCGGGUUGUAAAGCCCUUUUGUUGGGAAAGAAAAUCAGCAGGUUAAUCCCCCGCUGUUCUGACGGUACCCAAAGAAUAAGCACCGGCUAACUUCGUG
This 492-nucleotide ribosomal RNA is filed under the name uncultured bacterium. RNAcentral describes it as "partial 16S ribosomal RNA". It matches the Rfam family "Bacterial small subunit ribosomal RNA", at positions 29 to 507 of the family's 1533-position model. The record is from RNAcentral.